GCUUAAAGGGGCCGUAGCUUGAUAAUAGGGUCCCUUGAGAAAUCCGCCGGCUUAACUGGCGGGCGUUCAGGGGAAACUUGUUUUCUAGGGACCGGGAGAGGUGAGGGGUACUGCCGGGGUAGGAGUGAAAUCCUGUAAUCCCGGUGGGACCACCUAUGGCGAAGGCAUCUCACCAGAACGGGUCCGACAGUGAGGGACGAAAGCUGGGGGAGCAAACCGGAUUAGAUACCCGGGUAGUCCCAGCUGUAAACUAUGUGCGUUAGGUGUGUCAGUGACCACGUGUCACUGAGGUGCCGAAGGGAAACCGUGAAACGCACCGCCUGGGGAGUACGGUCGCAAGGCUGAAACUUAAAGGAAUUGGCGGGGGAGCACCACAACGGGUGGAGCCUGCGGUUUAAUCGGACUCAACGCCGGGAAUCUCACCGGAUAAGACAGCUGAAUGAUAGUCGGGAUGAAGACUCUACUUGACUAGCUGAGAGGAGGUGCAUGGCCGUCGUCAGUUCGUACUGUGAAGCAUCCUGUUUAGUCAGGCAACGAGCGAGACCCACGCGAGCAGUUGCCAGCUUGACCUUCGGGUUGAUGGGGACACUGCUCGGACCGCCUCUGCUAAAGGGGAGGAAGGACUGGGCAACGGUAGGUCAGCAUGCCCCGAAUUAUCCGGGCUACACGCGGGCUACAAUGGACAGGACAAUGAGUUUCGACACCGAGAGGUGAGGAUAAUCUUCUAACCCUGUCCCAAGUUCGGAUUGCGGGUUGUAACUCACCCGCAUGAGGCUGGAAUCCGUAGUAAUCGCGUUUCAACAUACCGCGGUGAAUUUGUUCCUGCUCCUUGCACUCACCGCCC
RNAcentral lists this ribosomal RNA (844 nucleotides) under uncultured prokaryote. RNAcentral's name for it is "bacterial SSU rRNA". It matches the Rfam family "Archaeal small subunit ribosomal RNA", at positions 508 to 1351 of the family's 1478-position model. The record is from RNAcentral.